UAGUCAGAUGCCCGCUGGUUAGGGUGCUUAGCUGUUAACUAAGUAGUCGUGGGAUCGAAGCCCUCCUGAUUAG
RNAcentral lists this transfer RNA (73 nucleotides) under Gempylus serpens (snake mackerel). RNAcentral describes it as "tRNA-Asn". It matches the Rfam family "tRNA". Rfam says of the family: Transfer RNA (tRNA) molecules are approximately 80 nucleotides in length. Their secondary structure includes four short double-helical elements and three loops (D, anti-codon, and T loops). Further hydrogen bonds mediate the characteristic L-shaped molecular structure. tRNAs have two regions of fundamental functional importance: the anti-codon, which is responsible for specific mRNA codon recognition, and the 3' end, to which the tRNAs corresponding amino acid is attached (by aminoacyl-tRNA synthetases). tRNAs cope with the degeneracy of the genetic code in two manners: having more than one tRNA (with a specific anti-codon) for a particular amino acid; and 'wobble' base-pairing, i.e. permitting non-standard base-pairing at the 3rd anti-codon position. Lineage: Eukaryota; Metazoa; Chordata; Actinopteri; Scombriformes; Gempylidae. The record is from RNAcentral.